UCCACGAGAUCUUCAACUUCCACCUCUGGCAAACUUUGACAGCAUUCCAUGGGAGGCUCCCAUUCUACUUUUUUUUUUUUAAUUUAUUUUUUUGUAUUUUCAGUGAAAGAAAUCAAACACAUCUCAACAUACAACCAUCAACAAAGGAAGCAUACCAUCCAUUGCAAAUCAAAGUUUUGAGUCCUGAACUAUAUUCUUAAAGAAAGUCCAUCCGAAGAGGUUUCACGUACUCAGUCCACUUGGUCCAGAUUUCAUAGAAUCUGUCUUUUUGCAUCCUGAGGGAGAAAUACAACUUUUCCAUGACAUAUAUAUCGUGUAAUAUGUUUAUCCAGUCUUCAAAGGUACAUCACCCAGGGUCUCAAAGCUUGAAAAAAAACCCUUUGCGGAUGAAAGAGAAAUAGGUUGUUAAUCCUUUUGGUAUCCAUCUUUUAAAACCAUCGUCCUGUGUAUUGGGUGCAAACUAUCCAACGAUCCAAGAUGGCGCCGCGAAUGGAUGCCCUGGUACUUCGGUGCGCUCUGUUUUGUUUGUUUUUGUGCGUUAUUUCUGUGU
This is a long non-coding RNA of Archocentrus centrarchus (flier cichlid), 550 nucleotides long. RefSeq lists it as uncharacterized. The record is from RefSeq and is a predicted model, not a curated record. The transcript is spliced from 3 exons. NCBI's taxonomy places the organism in Eukaryota, Metazoa, Chordata, Actinopteri, Cichliformes, Cichlidae.